This 1009-nucleotide ribosomal RNA is filed under the name Vreelandella aquamarina. RNAcentral describes it as "bacterial SSU rRNA". It matches the Rfam family "Bacterial small subunit ribosomal RNA", at positions 26 to 1026 of the family's 1533-position model. The record is from RNAcentral. Lineage: Bacteria; Pseudomonadati; Pseudomonadota; Gammaproteobacteria; Oceanospirillales; Halomonadaceae.
AGAAUAGCAGGCAGGAGGCCUACACAUGCAGUCGAGCGGUAACAGAUCCAGCUUGCUGGAUGCUGACGAGCGGCGGACGGGUGAGUAAUGCAUAGGAAUCUGCCCGAUAGUGGGGGAUAACCUGGGGAAACCCAGGCUAAUACCGCAUACGUCCUACGGGAGAAAGGGGGCUCCGGCUCCCGCUAUGGGAUGAGCCUAUGUCGGAUUAGCUAGUUGGUGAGGUAACGGCUCACCAAGGCCACGAUCCGUAGCUGGUCUGAGAGGAUGAUCAGCCACAUCGGGACUGAGACACGGCCCGAACUCCUACGGGAGGCAGCAGUGGGGAAUAUUGGACAAUGGGGGAAACCCUGAUCCAGCCAUGCCGCGUGUGUGAAGAAGGCCCUCGGGUUGUAAAGCACUUUCAGCGAGGAAGAACGCCUAGCGGUUAAUACCCGCUAGGAAAGACAUCACUCGCAGAAGAAGCACCGGCUAACUCCGUGCCAGCAGCCGCGGUAAUACGGAGGGUGCAAGCGUUAAUCGGAAUUACUGGGCGUAAAGCGCGCGUAGGUGGCUUGAUAAGCCGGUUGUGAAAGCCCCGGGCUCGACCUGGGAACGGCAUCCGGAACUGUCAAGCUAGAGUGCAGGAGAGGAAGGUAGAAUUCCCGGUGUAGCGGUGAAAUGCGUAGAGAUCGGGAGGAAUACCAGUGGCGAAGGCGGCCUUCUGGACUGACACUGACACUGAGGUGCGAAAGCGUGGGUAGCAAACAGGAUUAGAUACCCUGGUAGUCCACGCCGUAAACGAUGUCGACCAGCCGUUGGGUGCCUAGCGCACUUUGGUGGCGAAGUUAACGCGAUAAGUCGACCGCCUGGGGGAGUACCGGCCGCGGGGUUAAAACUCAAUGAAUUGACGGGGGGCCCGCACAAGCGGUGGAGCAGGGUGGUUUAAUUUCGAUGCAACGCGAGAGCCUUUACCUACUCUUGACAUGCGUGGCGAGUUGGGUAGAGAUACCGUUAGGUGCCUUUCGGGGGA